GGGAUUGUAGUUCAAUUGGUCAGAGCACCACCUAUCAAGGUGGAAGCUACGGGUUCGAGCCCCUCAGUCCUG
Molecule: transfer RNA, 72 nt
Filed under: Capsicum annuum
Lineage: Eukaryota; Viridiplantae; Streptophyta; Magnoliopsida; Solanales; Solanaceae
Rfam family: tRNA
About the family: Transfer RNA (tRNA) molecules are approximately 80 nucleotides in length. Their secondary structure includes four short double-helical elements and three loops (D, anti-codon, and T loops).
Source: Rfam by way of RNAcentral